GAGUUUGAUCUUGGCUCAGAUUGAACGCUGGCGGCAUGCCUUACACAUGCAAGUCGAACGGCAGCACGGGAGCUUGCUCCUGGUGGGCGAGUGGCGAACGGGUGAGUAAUGCAUCGGAACGUAUCCUGGAGUGGGGGAUAACGUAGCGAAAGUUACGCUAAUACCGCAUAUUCUGUGAGCAGGAAAGCGGGGGACCUUCGAGUCCUCGCGCUCUUGGAGCGGCCGAUGUCGGAUUAGCUAGUUGGUGAGGUAAAGGCUCACCAAGGCGACGAUCCGUAGCAGGUCUGAGAGGAUGAUCUGCCACACUGGAACUGAGACACGGUCCAGACUCCUACGGGAGGCAGCGACGUGGGGAAUUUUGGACAAUGGGGGCAACCCUGAUCCAGCCAUGCCGCGUGAGUGAAGAAGGCCUCGG
This 415-nucleotide ribosomal RNA is filed under the name bacterium enrichment culture clone ALO1_GLFRUDD03GFZCE. RNAcentral describes it as "bacterial SSU rRNA". It matches the Rfam family "Bacterial small subunit ribosomal RNA", at positions 9 to 420 of the family's 1533-position model. The record is from RNAcentral.